UUGGACGGUGUUGGAUGGCUCGUUUGGGCCCUCUUUCCCCGUCCAUGCUCUCUCCGUCCCUCCCCAAACCUUUUCGCCCGAUCACGCGGCCGCGCGCGCGCGGAGAUGGGAUGGGUGUUCGUCGGCGGGGUAGGUCACAUGCUCCCUGUCUGUGGGCCCCAUCCCCACCCUCCCUCGCCCCUUCGGUCGGCUCUGCGGCCCCACGUGCGCGGACCUCAGAUUGUGCCCCCAGCACGAAUAUUUCGGCAA
Molecule: long non-coding RNA, 249 nt
Filed under: Elaeis guineensis (African oil palm)
Lineage: Eukaryota; Viridiplantae; Streptophyta; Magnoliopsida; Arecales; Arecaceae
Description: long non-coding RNA (EGUI_LNC074307)
Source: RNAcentral